This is a long non-coding RNA of Passer domesticus (house sparrow), 890 nucleotides long. RefSeq lists it as uncharacterized. The transcript has 3 exons. The record is from RefSeq and is a predicted model, not a curated record. Lineage: Eukaryota; Metazoa; Chordata; Aves; Passeriformes; Passeridae.
CAGUAAAAACACACAGCUGAUGCUACAUUCCCUGGGAAGAGGGCACAGAGCACAGAGCCUGUCAUUGUGUCUAAAGAUACUUGAGAAUUUAAUCUGCAGAGCCUCACAUCCCUGGAAAUGUGAAACGUUUGGGAAAAAGCUGCUGUUGACUGUGCUCUUUACAAGGGAAAAUACAGGUUUGAUCUGAAGAUUGAAGACUGAAUUUAAGAAGUUGGGAAGAUCCAGAAUGGCUUUGGAAGCAGAAGAGUUACUUUGGAAGCAGAAGCAGUUAUGUUGAGUGAAAAUGGAAGUGCAGUGUCAGUGCACAAGAAUGGAAAACGACAGGAGAAUGACGGAGCCUCUGACAGCACUCAGAACCUGAGCUUCUGGUUCUUCUGUUAAGACCAUGAAUGAACUCAGAACAGAGUUGCAGAUGGGAUGCCCAACAUGACUUGCAUGUGUGUAAGCCUAGUGAAAGGCCUUGUGAAGUAAAAUAACUAUAAAUCAGCAAAUCAUAAUUAUGAAUCAGUGAAAUGUAACAAAGGUAGAGCUCAUGAGGAAGAAUGUCUGAGAAAAUGCUUCAUUUAUGUAAUUUCCAAGUCUUUAAAAAUAUAAUUUUUGUGCAGGUCUGCUAGACACAUACAGUUCCAGUGGUUUCUGCUUUAUCUUGUCUGCUGUUUCCUUUAGUCUUCUGAAUGUCUGAUGACCUCCAGGUUCUCUGUGUUCCAGGUGAAGUCCCUGUCUCCAGGGAGUGUGGUGUGGUGUGCCAUGACCAAAUGAAAAUCUCCUUUGAAUGCUUCUCAUUAAAAAUAUAGCUGUACCAACAGAAAACAGAGAUGGGAGAAACUCUAAGGCUCAUAAUAUUUUAAAAUUUUGGCAGUUAUUUAAUCUUAUGUUGAAAAUCAUCCACG